AUUGAACGCUGGCGGCAGGCCUAACACAUGCAAGUCGAGCGGAUGAGAGGAGCUUGCUCCUCGAUUCAGCGGCGGACGGGUGAGUAAUGCCUAGGAAUCUGCCUAGUAGUGGGGGACAACGUUUCGAAAGGAACGCUAAUACCGCAUACGUCCUACGGGAGAAAGUGGGGGAUCUUCGGACCUCACGCUAUUAGAUGAGCCUAGGUCGGAUUAGCUAGUUGGUAGGGUAACGGCCUACCAAGGCGACGAUCCGUAACUGGUCUGAGAGGAUGAUCAGUCACACUGGAACUGAGACACGGUCCAGACUCCUACGGGAGGCAGCAGUGGGGAAUAUUGGACAAUGGGCGAAAGCCUGAUCCAGCCAUGCCGCGUGUGUGAAGAAGGCCCUCGGGUCGUAAAGCACUUUAAGUUGGGAGGAAGGGCUUACAGCGAAUACCUGUGAGUUUUGACGUUACCGACGGAAUAAGCACCGGCUAACUUCGUGCCAGCCGCCGCGGUAA
Molecule: ribosomal RNA, 500 nt
Filed under: uncultured bacterium
Lineage: Bacteria
Description: partial 16S ribosomal RNA
Rfam family: Bacterial small subunit ribosomal RNA
Source: RNAcentral